UAUCUAUACAAUACAUAAUUUGACAGUUCGGUUAUAACAGAAAAAUGGUUUCUAAGAGAGCCACAUAGCCAUUUAAGGCAUGAAUCAAUGGGAGUUUGCCACAUGUAAUAAAAAUUUUGGACCUGCCUGUUACACCGUAGACCAAUUCUAAAAUUUGCAUCAAAGAUAAAUUUCUAUAAUAUAGUAAAUUAUUUAGAUACUUAAUUAAUAAUUAUAGCUUUAUUUUAUAUUAUAAAUUAUAUAUCAAAUAUUCCAUCAAUUAUUUAAUACUGUGU
This 275-nucleotide long non-coding RNA is filed under the name Ananas comosus (pineapple). RNAcentral describes it as "long non-coding RNA (ACOM_LNC015260)". The record is from RNAcentral. Lineage: Eukaryota; Viridiplantae; Streptophyta; Magnoliopsida; Poales; Bromeliaceae.